UUGGCCUUUAUGACCAGGCUACACACGUACUACAAUGGCCGGUACAAAGGGCAGCCACUUAGCGAUAAGGAGCCAAUCCCGUAAAGCCGGUCUCAGUCCGGAUUGGAGUCUGCAACUCGACUCCAUGAAGUUGGAAUCGCUAGUAAUCGCAGAUCAGCACGCUGCGGUGAAUACGUUCCCGGGCCUU
RNAcentral lists this ribosomal RNA (187 nucleotides) under uncultured Desulfocapsa sp. Its description in RNAcentral is "partial 16S ribosomal RNA". It matches the Rfam family "Bacterial small subunit ribosomal RNA", at positions 1195 to 1382 of the family's 1533-position model. The record is from RNAcentral. Lineage: Bacteria; Pseudomonadati; Thermodesulfobacteriota; Desulfobulbia; Desulfobulbales; Desulfocapsaceae.